GGCGAAGUGGUGGAAUUGGUAGACACGGUCAGUUGCCAACUGACCGCCCACGGGCGUGCGGGUUCGAGUCCCGCCUUAUUCA
This 82-nucleotide transfer RNA is filed under the name Pseudomonas sp. REST10. RNAcentral's name for it is "tRNA-Gly". It matches the Rfam family "tRNA". Rfam says of the family: Transfer RNA (tRNA) molecules are approximately 80 nucleotides in length. Their secondary structure includes four short double-helical elements and three loops (D, anti-codon, and T loops). Further hydrogen bonds mediate the characteristic L-shaped molecular structure. tRNAs have two regions of fundamental functional importance: the anti-codon, which is responsible for specific mRNA codon recognition, and the 3' end, to which the tRNAs corresponding amino acid is attached (by aminoacyl-tRNA synthetases). tRNAs cope with the degeneracy of the genetic code in two manners: having more than one tRNA (with a specific anti-codon) for a particular amino acid; and 'wobble' base-pairing, i.e. permitting non-standard base-pairing at the 3rd anti-codon position. The record is from RNAcentral. Lineage: Bacteria; Pseudomonadati; Pseudomonadota; Gammaproteobacteria; Pseudomonadales; Pseudomonadaceae.